This 198-nucleotide ribosomal RNA is filed under the name uncultured bacterium. Its description in RNAcentral is "partial 16S ribosomal RNA". It matches the Rfam family "Bacterial small subunit ribosomal RNA", at positions 328 to 540 of the family's 1533-position model. The record is from RNAcentral.
ACGCUCGACACCUACGGAGGCAGCAGUGGGGAAUAUUGCACAAUGGGGGAAACCCUGAUGCAGCGACGCCGCGUGGAGGAAGAAGGUCUUCGGAUUGUAAACUCCUGUUGUUGGGGAAAAAGAGGAUGGUACCCAACAAGGAAGUGACGGCUAACUACGUGCCAGCAGCCGUGGUAAUCUGAGCGGGCUGGCGAAGGC